GACAGAGGUCCCGAGCGUUAGGCGGAAUCACUGGGCUUAAAGCGUGUGUAGGCGGAUUUGUAAGUACCUUGUGAAAUCCCACGGCUUAACCGUGGAACUGCUUGGUAUACUGCUUAUCUUGGGCCACUUAGGGGUUACCGGAACAAACGGUGGAGCGGUGAAAUGCGUAGAUAUCGUUUGGAACGCCAAUGGUGAAAACAGGUUGCUGGGAGUGUGCUGACGCUGAGACACGAAAGCCAGGGGAGCGAACGGG
This 253-nucleotide ribosomal RNA is filed under the name uncultured bacterium. RNAcentral's name for it is "partial 16S ribosomal RNA". It matches the Rfam family "Bacterial small subunit ribosomal RNA", at positions 524 to 776 of the family's 1533-position model. The record is from RNAcentral.